AUUGGGGAAUUUUCCGCAAUGGGGGAAACCCUGGCGGAGCAACGCCGCGUGGAGGAUGAAGGCCCUCGGGUCGUAAACUCCUGUCGAUCGGGAAGAAUGCAUUCGGGUUAAUACCCCGUGGUGUUGACUGUACCGGUGGAGGAAGCCACGGCUAACUCUGUGCCAGCAGCCGCGGUAAGACAGAGGUGGCAAGCGUUGUUCGGAAUUACUGGGCGUAAAGGGCGCGCAGGCGGUUCGUCAAGUCCCGUGUGAAAUCCCCCGGCUCAACUGGGGAACUGCGCGGGAAACUAGCGGGCUUGAGUUCGGGAGAGGAAAGCGGAAUUCCGGGUGUAGCGGUGAAAUGCGCAGAUAUCCGGAGGAACACCAGUGGCGAAGGCGGCUUUCUGGACCGACACUGACGCUGAGGCGCGAAAGCUAGGGGAGCGAAAGGGAUUAGAUACCCCUGUAGUCAAU
Molecule: ribosomal RNA, 453 nt
Filed under: uncultured bacterium
Lineage: Bacteria
Description: bacterial SSU rRNA
Rfam family: Bacterial small subunit ribosomal RNA
Source: RNAcentral